GAUGAACGCUGGCGGCGUGCUUAACACAUGCAAGUCGAACGGUGAAGCCAAGCUUGCUUGGUGGAUCAGUGGCGAACGGGUGAGUAACACGUGAGCAACCUGCCCUGGACUCUGGGAUAAGCGCUGGAAACGGCGUCUAAUACUGGAUAUGAGCCUCUUCCGCAUGGUGGGGGUUGGAAAGAUUUUUUGGUCUGGGAUGGGCUCGCGGCCUAUCAGCUUGUUGGUGAGGUAAUGGCUCACCAAGGCGUCGACGGGUAGCCGGCCUGAGAGGGUGACCGGCCACAGGGGGAUGGGAAAGCGGCCCAGCCUCCAGCGGGAGCGGGAAGGGGGGAAUAUUGAACAGGGGGGAAAACCCUGAUGCAGCACCGCCGGGGGAGGAAGGCGGGCUUUGGGUUUGAAACCCUUUUUUGGCGGGAAAGAAGCAAAGGUGAGGUACCCUAAAAAAAAACGCCCGGCAAACUCGGUC
Molecule: ribosomal RNA, 466 nt
Filed under: uncultured bacterium
Lineage: Bacteria
Description: partial 16S ribosomal RNA
Rfam family: Bacterial small subunit ribosomal RNA
Source: RNAcentral